Molecule: ribosomal RNA, 498 nt
Filed under: uncultured bacterium
Lineage: Bacteria
Description: partial 16S ribosomal RNA
Rfam family: Bacterial small subunit ribosomal RNA
Source: RNAcentral
GGAUGAACGCUGGCGGCGUGCCUAAUCCAUGCAAGUCGAGCGAACAGAUGAGGGGCUUGCUCCUCUGACGUUAGCGGCGGCCGGGUGAGUAACACGUGGAUAACCUACCUAUAUGACUGGGAUAACUUCGGGAAACCGGAGCUAAUACCGGAUAAUCUAUUGAACCGCAUGGUUCAAUAGUGAAAGACGGUUUUGCUGUCACUUAUAGAUGGAUCCGCGCCGCAUUAGCUAGUUGGUAAGGUAACGGCUUACCAAGGCAACGAUGCGUAGCCGACCUGAGAGGGUGAUCGGCCACACUGGAACUGAGACACGGUCCAGACUCCUACGGGAGGCAGCAGUAGGGAAUCUUCCGCAAUGGGCGAAAGCCUGACGGAGCAACGCCGCGUGAGUGAUGAAGGUCUUCGGAUCGUAAAACUCUGUUAUUAGGGAAGAACAAAUGUGUAAGUAACUAUGCACGUCUUGACGGUACCUAAUCAGAAAGCCACGGCUAACUACGUG